RNAcentral lists this ribosomal RNA (281 nucleotides) under Phocaeicola plebeius DSM 17135. RNAcentral's name for it is "partial 16S ribosomal RNA". It matches the Rfam family "Bacterial small subunit ribosomal RNA", at positions 524 to 805 of the family's 1533-position model. The record is from RNAcentral. Lineage: Bacteria; Pseudomonadati; Bacteroidota; Bacteroidia; Bacteroidales; Bacteroidaceae.
UACGGAGGAUGCAAGCGUUAUCCGGAUUUAUUGGGUUUAAAGGGAGCGCAGACGGGUCGUUAAGUCAGCUGUGAAAGUUUGGGGCUCAACCUUAAAAUUGCAGUUGAUACUGGCGUCCUUGAGUGCGGUUGAGGUGUGCGGAAUUCGUGGUGUAGCGGUGAAAUGCUUAGAUAUCACGAAGAACUCCGAUUGCGAAGGCAGCACACUAAGCCGUAACUGACGUUCAUGCUCGAAAGUGUGGGUAUCAAACAGGAUUAGAUACCCUGGUAGGCUGACUGACU